GACGAACGCUGGCGGCGUGCUUAACACAUGCAAGUCGAACGGAAAGGCCCUGCUUUUGUGGGGUGCUCGAGUGGCGAACGGGUGAGUAACACGUGAGUAACCUGCCCUUGACUUUGGGAUAACUUCAGGAAACUGGGGCUAAUACCGGAUAGGAGCUCCUGCUGCAUGGUGGGGGUUGGAAAGUUUCGGCGGUUGGGGAUGGACUCGCGGCUUAUCAGCUUGUUGGUGGGGUAGUGGCUUACCAAGGCUUUGACGGGUAGCCGGCCUGAGAGGGUGACCGGCCACAUUGGGACUGAGGUACGGCCCAGACUCCUACGGGAGGCAGCAGUGGGGAAUAUUGCACAAUGGGCGGGAGCCUGAUGCAGCAACGCCGCGUGCGGGAUGACGGCCUUCGGGGUGUAAACCGCUUUCGCCUGUGACGAAGCGUGAGUGACGGUAAUGGGUAAAGAAGCACCGGCUAACUACGUG
RNAcentral lists this ribosomal RNA (468 nucleotides) under uncultured bacterium. Its description in RNAcentral is "partial 16S ribosomal RNA". It matches the Rfam family "Bacterial small subunit ribosomal RNA", at positions 28 to 507 of the family's 1533-position model. The record is from RNAcentral.